GGGUGCUCUGGAUCUUUCGUCCUGAGCAUAUGCCAGGGACAGAAAGAGAAAAGCCCCGAGUCGAUGUACAUCAACCCGAGGCCCACUCUAACGCCUGACAACGUUAAGUUAGCCUCUUACCCGCCGCGAGGCAAGGAGAAGAAGGCAUGAUG
Molecule: antisense RNA, 152 nt
Filed under: Serratia ficaria
Lineage: Bacteria; Pseudomonadati; Pseudomonadota; Gammaproteobacteria; Enterobacterales; Yersiniaceae
Description: sok antitoxin (CssrC)
Rfam family: sok antitoxin (CssrC)
About the family: Also identified in Shigella as CssrC.
Source: Rfam by way of RNAcentral